This 497-nucleotide ribosomal RNA is filed under the name uncultured bacterium. RNAcentral's name for it is "partial 16S ribosomal RNA". It matches the Rfam family "Bacterial small subunit ribosomal RNA", at positions 28 to 507 of the family's 1533-position model. The record is from RNAcentral.
GAUGAACGCUGGCGGCGUGCCUAAUACAUGCAAGUCGAGCGAACAGACGAGGAGCUUGCUCCUCUGACGUUAGCGGCGGACGGGUGAGUAACACGUGGAUAACCUACCUAUAAGACUGGGAUAACUUCGGGAAACCGGAGCUAAUACCGGAUAACAUGUUGAACCGCAUGGUUCAACAGUGAAAGACGGUUUUGCUGUCACUUAUAGAUGGAUCCGCGUCGCAUUAGCUAGUUGGUAAGGUAACGGCUUACCAAGGCAACGAUGCGUAGCCGACCUGAGAGGCUGAUCGGCCACACUGGAGCUGAGCCACGGUCCAGACUCCUACGGGAGGCAGCAGUAGGGAAUCUUCCGCAAUGGGCGAAAGCCUGACGGAGCAACGCCGCGUGAGUGAAGAAGGUCUUCGGAUCGUAAAACUCUGUUAUUAGUGAAGAACAAAUGUGUAAGUAACUAUGCACGUCUUGACGGUACCUAAUCAGAAAGCCACGGCUAACUACGUG